AUACGUAGGGAGCGAGCGUUGUCCGGAAUUACUGGGUGUAAAGGGAGCGUAGGCGGGACUGCAAGUCAGAUGUGAAAUACCGGGUCUUAACCCCGGAGCUGCAUUUGAAACUGUGGUUCUUGAGUGAAGUAGAGGCAAGCGGAAUUCCUGGUGUAGCGGUGAAAUGCGUAGAUAUCAGGAGGAACACCGGUGGCGAAGGCGGCUUGCUGGGCUUUUACUGACGCUGAGGCUCGAAAGCGUGGGUAGCAAACAGGAUUAGAUACCCUGGUAGUCCACGCUGUAAACGAUGAUUACUAGGUGUGGGGGGACUGACCCCUUCCGUGCCGCAGUUAACACAAUAAGUAAUCCACCUGGGGAGUACGGCCGCAAGGUUGAAACUCAAAUGAAUUGACGGGG
Molecule: ribosomal RNA, 396 nt
Filed under: uncultured bacterium
Lineage: Bacteria
Description: partial 16S ribosomal RNA
Rfam family: Bacterial small subunit ribosomal RNA
Source: RNAcentral